UGGUCAGGGCUGCCACUCAGGGUGCCUCGCCAUAACUGUUAUUUUGUCCUUCAACUGCUGUGCUAAAUCCCCUCACUCACAGAAUUUUCUAAUGAAGAAACAGUAAAUUUUAAAAUUAAAUCAAAUCUAACCUAACUAAUCUCCUAACUUAAGGCUUUGCGUCUUAACCCCCUUGAAAAUUAAGAAAUUUAUAUCAUUGUUAUUUCUAAAUUUUUCAACCUAGUUCAACUGUGAAAAUGUUGAGAUCUAUUCAAUGAAACGGUUAAGGUUUGAUUGUUUCAUGGAUGCUGUAAAGCAGUAUAUAAUACCAUUACUUUUACAUGUGGUAAAGUUAUCCUUUUGUUACAGAGAACCAGCUGUAUCGCAAGAGAAGAAACAAAUGGGUUCAGAUUCCUUCAACACUGGGAGAAGUGAUGGAUAUUCUGCUUUUUUAUCAUGUCACAAGUGGCUGUCAUGCUGGUAUUGAUAAAACCAAGUCCAGGAUUUCUGACCAUUAUUACUGGCUUGGUAUGUCAAGGGACGUCAUUGCAUAUAUAUCAACUUGUACAACUUGCCAGACUUUUGAGGUUGUAAAGACACAAGCUCCCACACUUAAACAAAUUAAGGUGUCUCAACCCAUGGAAGUCGUAGGCAUGGAUCUUAUUGGACCACUAGCGAUGACCAAGAGUGGGAGUCAGUACGUAUUGACAAUUGUGGAUUACUUCACCAAAUAUGUACUGUUGUUCCCUCUUCCAAGAAAGGAUGGGACAGGUGUCAACAAUUGCAUCAAGCAGUACAUAAGCAUAUCAACAAUGACUUCUGCCAGCAAAUGGGAAUAAAAAGGUGUGUCUCCAGUGCUUAUCAUCCCCAGACCAAUGGUUUGGUGGAAAGAGUAAACGGUAUGGUGAAACGCCGAGUAAGCAAGCUGUUGGUUGACCGUGGCAAAAACUGGGACGAGAGUCUGCAUGACAUCAUUUUCUCAAUAAACGCUCAGCCACAGUCAGCUACGAAGUACACACCAUUUUUCCUAAUGUUUGGUCGGGAAGCCCACACACUUUUGGAGAUCAAAGGUGUGGACUCUGACACUGACAUCAUAGAAGAUGGCAAGCUUGAGGAAUUUGUAGAAGACCAUGCAACCACCUACGAAAAGGCAUAUGAAAAGGCUUAGAUCAACCAAACAAAAGCACAUGCCAAGGCAAAAAAGGCAUACGAAAAGAAAAAAUCCAAGGGGGUCAAAAGCUUUGCACUGCAUGUGGGCCAGCUUGUGCUGAAACGCCAGGCAGCCAACAUUGCACGCAAAGGUGGACAGUGUGAUCCACUGUGGACUGGCCCAUUUAGUAGUGUUGAGGGCAGAGCCUUGAGCCUCCAUCAACUGUCUUUACAGAGAGGUAACAACAGGCUGCAGCGUUGUGGAAUUCAGCAGUGGCAUGAUUAGGGAGACACCACAACUCUGGCUGGCAAUGGAGCACUCGCCCAGCUGUGGGGUCCAGCCAUUAAUUGAGAUCACCAGAACCUUUCUCAACUGUUUCCAUUGUCUCCACAAAAUAAUAUUAAUUAUCUUUCUUAACCCUUUCAUUGCUAAGCGCUCACAAUGAGACUCCCCUCAGGCGCGUUCACAGCGAGCUUUAGCACCACCAGCAAGUGACGCUAGUGCUCGCUCUUUUAACCUUUGUAUAAAAAAACUAUUUAUCACAGCUAAAAACAAAAACACCAUUGGAAAGAGGAGGCCAAGAUUUAUAAUAUUCGGUAAUGUAAGCCUCUCCUGCGAAAAUACAGGCACGUUCAGGGGGUGUUUCCUGUGAAGAUGUACAUUUAUGUGUGCGUGACGGUCAGCCGCAAGGCAACUACUGUAGAUCUCUUGAUGAUGGGUGCUGGCAAGGGAGUAUUGCCAACUGCAAACUUUACAACUAUUUGGUCAAAAUAUGAGUCAAGUGAUAGGUGAAGCUGUGCAAAAAUGUCACUAUAUUGGGCAAGAAUAUCCACCACUUGCUCAUCCGUAGAUUUUCUGUGCUUGGCUGACAUGAUUUUCCACCAAAUUUAGUGAAGAACCCACUCUAUUGGCAAUCGGACCUGUGUUAUGAGAAUUAGUUAUGGAACACUCACAUGUGGGAGAUUUGAGUGCAGCUGGAGCUCACAGCGAGUGUUUAGCGCCACCAGCAAAUACGCCUAAUGCCCACUGCAAACAUUUAUCAAUGAAAGGGUUACUAAAAUUUCAUUGCAGAUUUAUUUAUUCUUAAUGAAAUAUUGGCUUCUCCAUUUCCUUCCCUCAUACUCUCUCUUCACAUAUUCUUUUUUUUUUAUGAAAUAUUGGCUUCACCAUUUCAUUCCCUCAUACUCUCUCUUCACAUAUUCUUUUUUUUUUUAUGAAAUAUUGGCUUCUCCAUUUCCUUCCCUCAUACUCUCUCUUCACAUAUUCUUUUUUUGUAAUGAAAUAUUGGCUUCACCAUUUCCUUCCCUCAUACUCUCUCUUCACAUAUUCUUUUUUUUUGUAAUGAAAUAUUGGCUUCACCAUUUCCUUCCCUCAUACUCUCUCUUCACAUAUUCUUUUUUUUUUUUAUGAAAUAUUGGCUUCACCAUUUCCUUCCCUCAUACUCUCUCUUCACAUAUUCUUUUUUUUUUAUGAAAUAUUGGCUUCACCAUUUCCUUCCCUCAUACUCUCUCUUCACAUAUUCUUUUUUUUUUUUUAUUAAAUAUUGGCUUAAC
Eriocheir sinensis (Chinese mitten crab) is the source of this 2682-nucleotide long non-coding RNA. RefSeq lists it as uncharacterized. Lineage: Eukaryota; Metazoa; Arthropoda; Malacostraca; Decapoda; Varunidae. The record is from RefSeq and is a predicted model, not a curated record. The transcript has 8 exons.